GAUGAACGCUGGCGGCGUGCCUAAUACAUGCCAGUCGAGCGAACAGACGAGGAGCUUGCUCCUCUGACGUUAGCGGCGGACGGGUGAGUAACACGUGGAUAACCUACCUAUAAGACUGGGAUAACUUCGGGAAACCGGAGCUAAUACCGGAUAAUAUAUUGAACCGCAUGGUUCAAUAGUGAAAGACGGUUUUGCUGUCACUUAUAGAUGGAUCCGCGCCGCAUUAGCUAGUUGGUAAGGUAACGGCUUACCAAGGCAACGAUGCGUAGCCGACCUGAGAGGGUGAUCGGCCACACUGGAACUGAGACACGGUCCAGACUCCUACGGGAGGCAGCAGUAGGGAAUCUUCCGCAAUGGGCGAAAGCCUGACGGAGCAACGCCGCGUGAGUGAUGAAGGUCUUCUGAUCGUAAAACUCUGUUAUUAGGGAAGAACAAAUGUGUAAGUAACUAUGCACGUCUUGACGGUACCUAAUCAGAAAGCCACGGCUAACUACGUG
This 497-nucleotide ribosomal RNA is filed under the name uncultured bacterium. RNAcentral's name for it is "partial 16S ribosomal RNA". It matches the Rfam family "Bacterial small subunit ribosomal RNA", at positions 28 to 507 of the family's 1533-position model. The record is from RNAcentral.